GUGACUUCCCUCACUGAGGGGUACCCCUUGGGGUAGAGGCCACUCUACCCCGUUGCCCUUGGCAACGCUAGACCCUGAAGUGAGUUGUGUGGGUGAUACAGCUUGGAUCUGUGUCCCAGCUCAAAUCUCCCGUCAAAUUGUAAACCCCAGUGUUGGGGGAGGGGCCUGGUGGGAGAUGAUUGGAUGAUGGGGGCUGAUUUGCAGUGCUCGUGAUAGUGAGUGAGUUCUCACGAGAUCUGCCUCUUUAAAAGCGUGUGGCACCUUCCGCUUCACUCUCUUCCUCCUUCCGCCUCGUAAGACACGUCUCUUUCCUCUUCGCCCUCCGCCAUGAUUUAGAGACGGGGUUUCACCGUGUUGGCCAGGAUGGUCUCCAUCUCUUGACGUCGUGAUCCACCCGCCUCGGCCUCCCAAAGUGCUGGGAUUACAGGCGUGAGCCACCGCACCCGGCCGAUAUUACAAAAUCUCCUUCCUCUCCCCCUCCUCCUCCUCCCUCCCUCCCGCAUUAGUUUCCUGACACGAACCUGGCGGCUUAGGACAACACACACUUACUCUCUCACAGUUCCUGAGGCUGGAAGUCCAGAAGUCGGGGUGCUGGCAGGACGUGCUCUUCUGAAGCCUCCAGGGCAGGGCCAGCCGCAUGCCCGUCUCCUCGCUUGGGCACCUGCCAGCGGUCCCCGGCGGUCCCCGGCUCAUUGCUGCAUGGCUCCAACGUCCGCCUCUCCCACCAUGUGGCCUCCUCCUGGUGUCUCUGUGUCCAAAUCUCCCGCUCUGUCUAAGGAUAACAGUCACUGGUCAUGGGACCCAUCCUAAUCCAGGGUGACCUCGUAUUAACCUCAUCACAUCUGCAAAGACUAUUUCCAAGUCAAGCCACACUCCCAGCUGCUGGGGGCGGGACUUGAACAUAUUUUUUGUGGGGACACAAUUCCCCUCUCAGGUUUUAAGAUUUGUCUUUAUCAUUAAAGUUUUCAAAACUAA
This 975-nucleotide long non-coding RNA is filed under the name Homo sapiens (human). RNAcentral's name for it is "HSALNT0309850". The record is from RNAcentral. Lineage: Eukaryota; Metazoa; Chordata; Mammalia; Primates; Hominidae.